UUAUUGUGCAGUGUAGAAUUGUUGUAGAACAUAAGACAGUAUUUUCUCAAUUUUUCUUACCAGUUUUUCAAAUAUCGUUUAUUUUAUUUUACAUACAUAUUGAAAAUGCAACGUAGUGAGAUAAUUUUAUAAUAUGCUCUGAAUAUUUAAGUGAAUAUAUUUUAUUAUGGCUGCUAAAGAGGAGGUAAACAAUGUGACAACCGAGACGAAGAUUGAAGAGACGCCGGAUUCAACGACCGAGGACGCACCGGCUAGUUUAGAAACCAUCCCUGAAGGAAACGCGGUACGAAAUGGUCUUCAAACAGCGCAAAAGGACAAAACAAAGAUUGAUAUACUCCUGAAGGCUACUGCUAAUGCUCCGAUUAUGAAACAGAAAAAAUGGUCGGUUUGCCAAGAUAACCCCAUCGGACGAAUUUCCGAAUUUAUCAAGAAGUAUCUCAAGCUGGAUCCCAAUGAGAGAUUAUUCCUUUAUGUUAAUCAGACGUUUGCACCUGCUCCGGAUCAGACAGUUAAGAAUUUAUAUGAUUGUUAUGGUGCAGAUGGAAAAUUAGUCAUCCACUAUUGUAAAAGUCAAGCCUGGGGUUAAAUUGUCAAUAUUAAUUUUUGCCAUAAAAAGGAUACUGCAUAAUAUUCCACCACAGUCAAUUUCGAUUUAUAUCGAAACGCGCAACACAACCAUCACUUACAUACAAGCACUCGCGCCGGGAAAUAGCAACACUCUUUUAUAAAAGAACUCAAUAACUUUAAUAAUAAUUGGGAAAGAGUACAAAAACGUGUAACAAGGAAUAUUGGGAUAAUUAUAGCCGUCAGAAAGAUGUGUCUGCCCGAUAAGACGAUAAUUCAACGUGCUAAGAGAUGAUCCUCCGGGGAUAAAUAUACCGCAAAAGACAGUUUUCAGGCAAAGACGAAACACAAAAGAUGCAACAAUACUGCUACUGAACUGCUGCUACUGUGGUUGUGGUGGAUUGUGUUGAAGGAAAGAU
Molecule: RNA transcript, 983 nt
Organism: Cataglyphis hispanica
Lineage: Eukaryota; Metazoa; Arthropoda; Insecta; Hymenoptera; Formicidae
Gene: Atg12
Gene name: autophagy protein 12-like
Exons: 5
Source: RefSeq, a predicted model, not a curated record